This 709-nucleotide ribosomal RNA is filed under the name uncultured archaeon. RNAcentral's name for it is "bacterial SSU rRNA". It matches the Rfam family "Archaeal small subunit ribosomal RNA", at positions 137 to 846 of the family's 1478-position model. The record is from RNAcentral.
AAACUGAGGAUAAUACUGGAUAGGCAAUUAUUCCUGGAAUGGUUUUUUGUUUAAAUGUUUUUUCGCCUAAGGAUGGGUCUGCGGCCGAUUAGGUAGUUGGUUAGGUAACGGCUUACCAAGCCAUUGAUCGGUACGGGUUGUGAGAGCAAGAGCCCGGAGAUGGAACCUGAGACAAGGUUCCAGGCCCUACGGGGUGCAGCAGGCGCGAAACCUCCGCAAUGUGAGAAAUCGCGACGGGGGGAUCCCAAGUGCCAUUCUUAACGGGAUGGCUUUUCAUUAGUGUAAAGAGCUUUUGGAAUAAGGGCUGGGCAAGACCGGUGCCAGCCGCCGCGGUAACACCGGCAGCUCUAGUGGUAGCAGUUUUUAUUGGGCCUAAAGCGUCCGUAGCCGGUUUAAUAAGUCUCUGGUGAAAUCCUGUAGCUUAACUGUGGGAAUUGCUGGAGAUACUAUUAGACUUGGGACCGGGAGAGGUUAGAGGUACUCCCAGGGUAGAGGUGAAAUUCUGUAAUCCUGGGAGGACCGCCUGUUGCGAAGGCGUCUAACUGGAACGGUUCUGACGGUGAGGGACGAAAGUUAGGGGCGCGAACCGGAUUAGAUACCCGGGUAGUCCUAACCGUAAACGAUGCGGACUUGGUGUUGGGGUGGCUUUGAGCUGCUCCAGUGCCGAAGGGAAGCUGUUAAGUCCGCCGCCUGGGAAGUACGGUCGCAA